Molecule: ribosomal RNA, 364 nt
Filed under: Skeletonema grethae
Lineage: Eukaryota; Bacillariophyta; Thalassiosirophyceae; Thalassiosirales; Thalassiosiraceae
Description: partial Bacterial large subunit ribosomal RNA
Rfam family: Bacterial large subunit ribosomal RNA
Source: RNAcentral
GUGCACCUUUACUAUAGUUAUAAAUUGUAAUAAAAUUUUUUUUGUGCAGAAUAUGUGGUAAGUUUUCAUUAAAUCGUAACAUAAGUUAUUUAUUUAAACAUCAAUGAGAUACCACUCUUAAAAACUUUUGUUACUCAUGAACUUAAAACAGUUUAUAAUGGGUAGUUUGACUGGGGCGGUCGCCUCCUAAAGAGUAACGGAGGCGUACGAAGGUAAGCUCAAAUUGAUAAAACUCAAUUGAAGAGCAUAAUAGUACAAUGCUUGCUUGACUGAAAGAUUGACAAAUCGAACAGGGACGAAAGUCGGUUAUAGUGAUCCGGUGACUCUGAGUGGAAAAGGUCAUCGCUCAACGGAUAAAAGGUAC